RNAcentral lists this ribosomal RNA (465 nucleotides) under uncultured bacterium. Its description in RNAcentral is "partial 16S ribosomal RNA". It matches the Rfam family "Bacterial small subunit ribosomal RNA", at positions 338 to 795 of the family's 1533-position model. The record is from RNAcentral.
CCUACGGGUGGCAGCAGUAGGGAAUCUUCCACAAUGGGCGAAAGUCUGAUGGAGCAACGCCGCGUGAGUGAAGAAGGGUUUCGGCUCGUAAAGCUCUGUUGGUAGUGAAGAAAGUUCGAGGUAGUAACUGUCCAUUAUUUGACGGUAAUUACUUAGAAAGUCACGGCUAACUACGUGCCAGCAGCCGCGGUAAUACGUAGGUGGCAAGCGUUGUCCGGAUUUAUUGGGCGUAAAGGGAUUGCAGGCGGUCCAAUAAGUCUGAUGUGAAAGCCUUCGGCUUAACCGGAGUAGUGCAUUAGAAACUGUGGAACUUGAGUGCAGAAGAGGAGAGUGGAACUCCAUGUGUAGCGGUGGAAUGCGUAGAUAUAUGGAAGAACACCAGUGGCGAAGGCGGCUCUCUGGUCUGUAACUGACGCUGAGGCUCGAAAGCAUGGGUAGCGAACAGGAUUAGAUACCCCUGUAGUC